AACUUUCAGCAAUGGAUCUCUUGGCUCUCGCAUCGAUGAAGAACGCAGCGAAUUGCGAUAAGUAAUGUGAAUUGCAGAUUUUCAGUGAAUCAUCGAAUCUUUGAAUGCACCUUGCGCUCCUUGGUAUUCCGAGGAGCAUGCCUGUUUGAGUGUCA
RNAcentral lists this ribosomal RNA (155 nucleotides) under Solioccasus polychromus. RNAcentral describes it as "5.8S ribosomal RNA". It matches the Rfam family "5.8S ribosomal RNA". Rfam says of the family: 5.8S ribosomal RNA (5.8S rRNA) is a component of the large subunit of the eukaryotic ribosome. It is transcribed by RNA polymerase I as part of the 45S precursor that also contains 18S and 28S rRNA. The record is from RNAcentral. Lineage: Eukaryota; Fungi; Basidiomycota; Agaricomycetes; Boletales; Boletaceae.